Molecule: ribosomal RNA, 253 nt
Filed under: uncultured bacterium
Lineage: Bacteria
Description: partial 16S ribosomal RNA
Rfam family: Bacterial small subunit ribosomal RNA
Source: RNAcentral
UACGUAGGGACCAAGCGUUGUUCGGAUUUACUGGGCGUAAAGGGCGCGUAGGCGGCUUAUCAAGUCACUUGUGAAAUCUCCGGGCUUAACUCGGAACGGCCAAGUGAAACUGUCAAGCUAGAGUGCAGAAGGGGCAAUCGGAAUUCUUGGUGUAGCGGUGAAAUGCGUAGAUAUCAAGAGGAACACCUGAGGUGAAGACGGGUUGCUGGGCUGACACUGACGCUGAGGCGCGAAAGCGUGGGGAGCAAACAGG